GAUGAACGCUGGCGGCGUGCUUAACACAUGCAAGUCGAACGAGAAGUGAAGACGGAAACCUUCGGGCGGAAGGCUUUAUUUCGAGUGGCGGACGGGUGAGUAACGCGUGGGUAACCUGCCUCAUACAGGGGGAUAACAGUUGGAAACGACUGUUAAUACCGCAUAAGACCACAGCACCGCAUGGUGCGGGGGUAAAAACUCCGGUGGUAUGAGAUGGACCCGCGUUCGAUUAGCCAGUUGGCGGGGUAACGGCCCACCAAAGCGACGAUCGAUAGCCGAUCUGAGAGGAUGACCGGCCACAUUGGGACUGAGACACGGCCCAAACUCCUACGGGAGGCAGCAGUGGGGAAUAUUGCACAAUGGGGGAAACCCUGAUGCAGCGACGCCGCGUGAGUGAAGAAGUAUUUCGGUAUGUAAAGCUCUAUCAGCAGGGAAGAAAAUGGCGGUACCUGAGUAAGAAGCCCCGGCUAACUACGUG
This 478-nucleotide ribosomal RNA is filed under the name uncultured bacterium. Its description in RNAcentral is "partial 16S ribosomal RNA". It matches the Rfam family "Bacterial small subunit ribosomal RNA", at positions 28 to 507 of the family's 1533-position model. The record is from RNAcentral.